RNAcentral lists this transfer RNA (72 nucleotides) under Graptopsaltria nigrofuscata. Its description in RNAcentral is "tRNA-Pro". Lineage: Eukaryota; Metazoa; Arthropoda; Insecta; Hemiptera; Cicadidae. The record is from RNAcentral.
CAGAGAAUAAUUUAAAUAUCUAAUAAAAAUUUAAACUUUGGGAGUUUAAUUUGGCAUAUAUGUCUUCUCUGA